This 63-nucleotide transfer RNA is filed under the name Olivierus martensii (Chinese scorpion). Its description in RNAcentral is "Mesobuthus martensii (Chinese scorpion) tRNA-Phe". The record is from RNAcentral. Lineage: Eukaryota; Metazoa; Arthropoda; Arachnida; Scorpiones; Buthidae.
ACUUAAAUAGCUUAUACUACUAAAGCUUUUCUUUGAAGAAGAAACGAAGUUACUCUUUAAGUA